RNAcentral lists this ribosomal RNA (253 nucleotides) under uncultured bacterium. Its description in RNAcentral is "partial 16S ribosomal RNA". It matches the Rfam family "Bacterial small subunit ribosomal RNA", at positions 524 to 776 of the family's 1533-position model. The record is from RNAcentral.
UACGAAGGGGGCUAGCGUUGUUCGGAAUUACUGGGCGUAAAGCGCACGUAGGCGGAAUGUUUAGUCAGGGGUGAAAUCCCGGGGCUCAACCCCGGAACUGCCUUUGAUACUGGCAUUCUCGAGUCCGGAAGAGGUGAGUGGAAUUCCGAGUGUAGAGGUGAAAUUCGUAGAUAUUCGGAGGAACACCAGUGGCGAAGGCGGCUCACUGGUCCGGUACUGACGCUGAGGUGCGAAAGCGUGGGGAGCAAACAGG